GCCAGGCGUGGUGGCUCAUGCCUGUAAUCCUAGCACUUUGGGAGGCUGAGGUGGGUGGAUCGCCUGAGCUCAGGAGCUCGAGACUAGCCUGGGCAACAUGGUGAAACCCCAUCUCUA
This 117-nucleotide non-coding RNA is filed under the name Nomascus leucogenys (northern white-cheeked gibbon). Lineage: Eukaryota; Metazoa; Chordata; Mammalia; Primates; Hylobatidae. The record is from Rfam by way of RNAcentral.